GGUUGGUAUGACGUCAUGGCCGGAGAAGGCUUUGGUUGCGGUGGGAGCCGCCAUUUUGUGGGUGUCGGGGUUGGCCUGGUGGGUGUGGAGUGUCCAGCACCUCCAGCUGUGUCCAACGAGUUGAGGCUCCACACCCACUGCUGAGGAUUAAACAAAAUAUCGAGAGGCUGCUCAUUAAGUGAGCAUUUUCCAUCCUAGUGAAAAACAAGAUGGGAUAAUGUAAUUAAAGACUGCCAUAAUGAGGUGAGCCGCGAGCCUAAAUUAAAGGUCACAGGCAGCACACACAGUGCAGAACCUACCCCAGAUUCUUCCACGCAUCCACUGGGUGCAGACAGCCCGUAAUAGGCAACCGGGGGAGCUGUAUUCAGGAUCAAAGAUUAUUGCUCAGCAGGCAGCACUGAACUGCACAGUCAGCAAUUUAUACAGAGCUGGAUGAGUAAGGAUCUUUUUCCCUCUGGCUGUAAGAAAAGGCCGUACAGAUGGAGCUAUCAGCAACGCAAAUGACAGCUAACCUUGCUAGCUUGUGUAGUAAUUCACUGGUCCUAUGUCCAUGGCCAUUUAGCCUAUGCAACAUGUUGCAUGUAGGGUUGGCCUGGUUUGACUUCAGUGCGCAAACAGUUCCCUAAUCUGAUACUCUGUUCUGUCAGGGAACGUUUUAACUGUUUGUUUGCCUUUUGUGAGCAGAAAAAAAAACACCCUUAUUUAAGACUGGGACAUAAAAAAAUUCUUUCUCCAAACUGGACAUUGUGGCUACACCAUCAUGUUGUGUUACCUCAUUUCUUGAGCCUAGUUACUAAGAAUGUACAGUUCUUGCUUUUGAAGCCCAAGUUUCCCAUUUCCCUUUCUCUCUGACGGAACAGAGCCCCUUUCAUUUUGGGUGUCACAGAGGCAUUCCUUCUGGUUUCAGGGGAGAUGAAGCCAUCUCGCUCCUAACUAAGUCAAUGGGAUUAAAUGCCAUGUGCUUAUUGAAAUGUGACCAAUGUUAGGUCUUUUCAGGCCUGUAAAUCUGAACUCGACUUUUAAAUGUGCUUUAAAUAAAGUUGCUUCCCAACAGGUGCACA
This is a long non-coding RNA of Coturnix japonica (Japanese quail), 1061 nucleotides long. RefSeq lists it as uncharacterized. The record is from RefSeq and is a predicted model, not a curated record. NCBI's taxonomy places the organism in Eukaryota, Metazoa, Chordata, Aves, Galliformes, Phasianidae.